Drosophila willistoni is the source of this 760-nucleotide long non-coding RNA. RefSeq lists it as uncharacterized. NCBI's taxonomy places the organism in Eukaryota, Metazoa, Arthropoda, Insecta, Diptera, Drosophilidae. The record is from RefSeq and is a predicted model, not a curated record. The transcript is spliced from 2 exons.
GACAACAACAUCAGUUCGAACGUCGUCAUAGAGAAAUCUAUCUAUCAAACGUUUGAACUAGUCGAUCCUGCCAAUCUAUGCCUUGAAUGUUAAUAUAGAUUCCGAAAUUAACCUAACAACAUAUAAAUUUUUUUAUCGUAUUUGUGUGUAAUUAAGGGCGGGCUAUGAAUAACAGUUAGCCACCAUUUAAAACGCCUGGAAAAAAAACGUAAAACCUUUAACCUAACAAAGGGCAAGAGGAACAAAAAAAAAAAGAAAAACCUAGAAAAUUAUAGUAAAAAAAAAAUCACUUGGAAAAGUCCCGUAAAAUGUUUCGAAAGUUGAUUUACUUUCUAAUGGCCACAUUUGGCAUUGGCCUCGCUGUAUUCUGGAGAUUCUUUAAAGAGGAUGAAGUCCAGACUGUGGCAGAUGCCGAAAGCCCAAUAAUGCAAAAAAUUCGUUAUAUGAUGAGCGAAAUGUAUUACUAUUUCCAUGAAGAUGAGCGACCUCCUGUGCCAAAGAUUAGUGCAAACUUCCUACAACGUGCCUGGGAAUAUGUGGGAAUCUAACAAACUCUGAAAAAAAAAAAAUCACAGGAACAACACAUACAUACAUAAAUAGGAGACGGCAAAUACUUCAGAAUUUAAUCACUAAUCUCUUCACUAACAACCAAAUAUGAAUAUUACAUAAAUAAGCUCCAUUACAAUUGCAAAAACGAAUUUACAACAAAAUUGUUUACAAUAAAAUAGAAAGAGUUCGCUUUCACCUCCCAUCUCCCAUA